AACGAACGCUGGCGGCACGCCUAACACAUGCAAGUCGAACGAAGCAUAGCAGCUUGCUGUUAUGACUGAGUGGCAAACGGGUGAGUAACGCGUGGGUAUCUACCUAUGAGAGGGGAAUAACUUUGGGAAACCAAAGCUAAUACCGCAUAAGCCCUGAGGGGGAAAGGAGCAAUCCGCUGAUAGAUGAGCCCGCGUUAGAUUAGGUAGUUGGUAGGGUAAAGGCCUACCAAGCCUAUGAUCUAUAGCUGGUCUGAGAGGAUGGUCAGCCACACUGGGACUGAGACACGGCCCAGACUCCUACGGGAGGCAGCAGUGGGGAAUAUUGGACAAUGGGGGAAACCCUGAUCCAGCGAUGCCGCGUGAGUGAAGAAGGCCUUAGGGUUGUAAAACUCUUUCAGUAGGGAAGAUGAUGACGGUACCUACAGAAGAAGCACCGGCUAACUCCG
Molecule: ribosomal RNA, 446 nt
Filed under: uncultured Rickettsiales bacterium
Lineage: Bacteria; Pseudomonadati; Pseudomonadota; Alphaproteobacteria; Rickettsiales
Description: bacterial SSU rRNA
Rfam family: Bacterial small subunit ribosomal RNA
Source: RNAcentral